This 1227-nucleotide ribosomal RNA is filed under the name Anisakis sp. 41 NJ-2013. RNAcentral describes it as "partial 18S ribosomal RNA". The stretch from base 704 to 1154 matches the Rfam family "Eukaryotic small subunit ribosomal RNA", at positions 627 to 983 of the family's 1831-position model. The record is from RNAcentral. Lineage: Eukaryota; Metazoa; Nematoda; Chromadorea; Rhabditida; Anisakidae.
GUUCCUUUUGGCUUCCCCCCCAACACAAAGGAGAAAAGCCCCCCCAGUUUAUAUCCUGACUUCUGUGAAUAUCCCAUAGCGUGUGGGAAUAUAACUGGUGGGUUAAUUUCUUAGAAGCCUUAAUAACAUUGCCACCCAAAAGCCUUCCCGAAAUUUUUUUGACCGAAGCCGCCAUUCUUAUUUAAGAAUUUAAAAACCCAAAUUCGGGGGGUUUUCGGGCCCCCGUUUUUGUUUGGGUUGAACUUCUUGAAAUAAACUCAUUAGCCUUGAAUCGCAUUGGGUCUAGAAAACCGGGCGAACGUUGUUUCUAUUCAAGUUGGGUCUUGCCUUUAAUCAAACUUGUUCGGAUUGGGGUAGUUUUAUUGUUGCCCUACCCAUUGGGUUUGGUUAACGGGGUUAAACGGAAGGAAAUAAGGGGGUUCGAACCUCCCGGGAAGAAGGGGAGCCCUGGAAGAAAACGGCCCUACCACAAUUCCCAAGGGAAGGGGCAGCCAGGGGCGCGCAAAAAUUUACCCACCUUCUCGGGCCAAUGAGGGAAGGGUAGUGGACCGGAAAAAUAAAACCGAGAACCGUUCCUUCCUAUGAGGGCCCCGGUUAAUUCGGAAUGGGUAACCAAUUUUAAACCCCGGUUUAACGAAGGAAAUCUAUGAAAGAGGGCCAAAGUCUGGGGUGCCAGGCCAGCCGCCGGGUAAUUUCCAGCUUUCUCAAAGUUGGUAUAUUUCGUCAUUUGCUGCCGGGUUAAAAAGGCCUCGUAAGUUGGGAAUCUGCGCCCUCAGGGAACUUGGGUCCCGCCCCACCUGGGGUGAAGAACUGGGGCUCCCUGGGGCCUAGUUCUUGCUGGGUUUUUCCCCUAUGUUUGCCUUUCAUCGGGUAGCCGUAGGGGUGGCCUAGCGGAGUUUUACUUUUGAAAAAAAUUAAGAAGUGCUUCCACGCGGGGCUUUAUGUCCUGAAAUACUUCGUGGCAUGGGAAUAAUAGAAAUAAGGAUCUCCGGCUCUAUUUUUGUUUGGUUUUUCUGAUCUGGAGAUAAUGGGUUAAGAGGGGACGGACGGGGGGCAUUUCGUAUCCGCUGCGGUGAGAAGGUGAAAUUCUUUGGACCGUAGCGAGACGCCCGACUGCGAAAGCAUUUCCCAAGAAAGUCUUCAUUAAUCAAGAACGAGAAUCUAGGACAGGGAAAAAAACCCCCACCACACACACACAAAAAGCGGUGGGGGGAAAAAACCAAAGGA